Non-coding RNA from Bombyx mori (domestic silkworm), 84 nucleotides. The record is from Rfam. NCBI's taxonomy places the organism in Eukaryota, Metazoa, Arthropoda, Insecta, Lepidoptera, Bombycidae.
UUAGCUCAUAUUUGUAUGGAAUAGGAUCGUUUGCCUACGUUCGCCGCUAGGGGCGCUGUUCCAACUGCAUACAAAAUUGGGUUA